This 1413-nucleotide ribosomal RNA is filed under the name Problepsis superans. Its description in RNAcentral is "16S ribosomal RNA". The record is from RNAcentral. Lineage: Eukaryota; Metazoa; Arthropoda; Insecta; Lepidoptera; Geometridae.
UUUAUAAUUAGAAAAUUAAAUAAAAUAAAAAUUUAAAAAAAAUUUUUUUAAAAGUAUUUUAAUAGGGGUUAAAGUAUUUUUAUUAAGAAUUAAUAAAAAUUUUUAUAGUGAAUUAGUAUUGUAAAAUAAAUUUGAAAUAAUUUAAAUAAAUAAUUAUUUAAAAGUAAAUUUUAUUUAUUGUAUCUUGUGUAUCAGAGUUUAUUAAUAAUUUUUAUUAAAUUUUAAUAAUUUCUCGAAUUUAAAAGAGUUAAUUAAUUAAUAAAUUUAAUGUGGUAAAAUUAUUUUUAAUAGUUAAUUUGAAAUGAAAUGUUAUUCGUUUUUAAAUAUAUCUAGUUUUUUUAGAAAAAAAUUUAAUUUUAAAAUUUAUAUAAUUAAUAUUAAAUAAUUUUAAUAUUCUUUAAUUAUGAAUUUUUAUAAUUUAAGGGAUAAGCUUUAAAUUAAAUUUUUAUAAUUAAUUAUAAAUUUUAAUUAAAAAUUUUAUAUUUUAUAUUGAUAAUAAAUUUUAUUUUGUUAUAAAUAAUUUUAAUUAAAAUAAAAUUUUAACUUAAUUUAAUUUUUUAUAAAAAUAUAAAUUAAAAUUAUUUAAAUUUAGUUAUAAUGAUAAAAUUAGUAUAUUGAUUUAUUAUAAGAUUAUUUAUUUAUUAAUAAUUAAUUUAAAGGAAUUAGGCAAAAAAUUAUAUUCACCUGUUUAACAAAAACAUGUCUUUUUGAAUUAAAUUUAAAGUCUGAUCUGCCCACUGAUAAUAUUAUUAAAGGGCUGCAGUAUUUUUGACUGUACAAAGGUAGCAUAAUCAUUAGUCUCUUAAUUGGUGACUUGUAUGAAUGAUCGGAUGAGAUAUAAACUGUCUCUAAUAUUAAUUUUUAGAAUUUAAUUUUUUAAUUAAAAAGUUAAAAUAAUUUAAAAAGACGAGAAGACCCUAUAGAGUUUUAUAUUUAUUAAUUUAAAUUAUUUAUUAAAAAUUUUAAUAAUUAUUUUAUUAAAUAUUUUAUUGGGGUGAUAAAAAAAUUAAAAUAACUUUUUUAAAAAAAAUUAAACAAGUAUAAUUGAUUGCUUGAUCCAGUAUUACUGAUUAUAAGAAAAAAUUACCUUAGGGAUAACAGCGUAAUUUUUUUUUUUAGUUCAAAUAAGAAAUAAAGUUUGCGACCUCGAUGUUGGAUUAAGAUAAAAUUUAAAUGCAAAAGUUUAAAAUUUUUGAUCUGUUCGAUCAUUAAAAUCUUACAUGAUCUGAGUUCAAACCGGUGUGAGCCAGGUUGGUUUCUAUCUUUUAUUAAUAAAAAUAUUUUAGUACGAAAGGAUCAAAUAUUUUAAUUAUAUUAAUUUAAAAAGAAUUUUAAUAAUUUUAAUUUAUAUUUUUAUUAUUAUUAUUUAUAAAAAUUAGGUAAAUUUAAAUAUAAAUUUUAAUUUAUUUAAAA